Molecule: ribosomal RNA, 505 nt
Filed under: uncultured bacterium
Lineage: Bacteria
Description: partial 16S ribosomal RNA
Rfam family: Bacterial small subunit ribosomal RNA
Source: RNAcentral
GACGAACGCUGGCGGCGUGCCUAAUACAUGCAAGUAGAACGCACAGUUUAUACCGUAGCUUGCUACACCAUAAACUGUGAGUUGCGAACGGGUGAGUAACGCGUAGGUAACCUGCCUGGUAGCGGGGGAUAACUAUUGGAAACGAUAGCUAAUACCGCAUAAUAUUGAUUAUUGCAUGAUAAUUGAUUGAAAGAUGCUAUUGCAUCACUACCAGAUGGACCUGCGUUGUAUUAGCUAGUAGGUGAGGUAACGGCUCACCUAGGCGACGAUACAUAGCCGACCUGGGAGGGUGAUCGGCCACACUGGGACUGAGACACGGCCCAGACUCCUACGGGAGGCAGCAGGAGGGAAUCUUCGGCAAUGGACGAAAGUCUGACCGAGCAACGCCGCGGGAGGGAAGAAGGUUUUCGGAUCGUAAAGCUCUGUUGUAAGAGAAGAACGGGUGUGAGAGUGGAAAGUUCACACUGUGACGGUAUCUUACCAGAAAGGGACGGCUAACUACGUG